AUGCCUAUGUUAUCCUGUAGUAAUGCAUAUGCUACACCGGGAUUCCUAAUAACUUACCAUUAUCUUCUUGACCAAAAUGAUGGGACCGGCACCCUCGCGCCAAGGCGCGAUCCCGAUCUAGUACAGCAACAUUGGCAGGGGCCGGGCGCAACUACGGUUGCAGGUUUAUGGGCAAAAAUUAGUGCUCUUACAAAGGGUCUCACACGGUGGGAAAAAUCUACCUUUGGUAAUGUUAAAGCUGAGAUUAAACGCUUGAAUGUGGAACUUGGAAGGCUUCAAGCGGAUCCUAGUCGGACUGAGCCGACCCGAAUUGAAGUUAAGAUUAAAGACCGCUUGGUCGAACUUUAUCACAGGGAAGAAGUAAUGUGGCGUCAGAGGGCGCGCAUUACAUGGCUAGCAGCGGGAGAUAAGAGCACUAAAUUCUUCCACCUGCACGCUAGCAGACUACGUCUUAAGAAUAAAAUUAAGGCUCUCAUGAAGGAGGAUGGCACCACAACAGAUGAUGCAGAUGAGAUGGGGAAUUUGGUUACAGCUCUCUAUCGGGACCUCUUCACUUCAGAGGGUACAUCAAACAUGGAGAGGGUGAUUGAUACUGUCCCUUGCAAAGUGACCGAGGAGAUGAAUAAAAAUUGA
This 633-nucleotide ribosomal RNA is filed under the name Triticum aestivum (bread wheat). RNAcentral describes it as "partial small subunit ribosomal RNA". The record is from RNAcentral. Lineage: Eukaryota; Viridiplantae; Streptophyta; Magnoliopsida; Poales; Poaceae.